Molecule: ribosomal RNA, 198 nt
Filed under: uncultured bacterium
Lineage: Bacteria
Description: partial 16S ribosomal RNA
Rfam family: Bacterial small subunit ribosomal RNA
Source: RNAcentral
ACGCUCGACACCUACGGGAGGCAGCAGUGGGGAAUAUUGCACAAUGGGGGAAACCCUGAUGCAGCGACGCCGCGUGGAGGAAGAGGGUCUUCGGAUUGUAAACUCCUGUUGUUGGGGAAAAAGAGGAUGGUACCCAACAAGGAAGUGACGGCUAACUACGUGCAAGCAGCCGCGGUAAUCUGAGCGGGCUGGCAAGGC